CUUAAAGGAGCAUUUCACCGGUGGAGGCAUGAAUAUGUAUUGAAAUCGGGUCCUAUAUGUAGUCGAAUAAUAAAAUAAAAUUCUAAUUUGGUGCCGUCUUGACCGAGAAAAGGCAGAAAGUGACUUUUUGAUGCUUGUGGAUUGAAGACAACAACUCCCACCAUGCACCACGAUGCACAGCUUCGCUGGCCACUCCCGCUGAUCAUCUCCGCCUAUCGGACACCUCCUUGUUCCAUCUACUAAUAGAACAAAUCAGCGUGGAGCUUGACCCGACGUCACUGGCAGAGAGUAAUGACGCUUGCACAGAAGCAUACGGCCGACAUCUUUCUUUAUUCUGGGUGGAAAUAGUAACAUAGUUACGCCAUUAAAUGCGUUUAUGUAAACAUUUUUAGCGAGAAGUGUGCAUUUUACUUUCAUAAGGUUCGCUCGUUGAAUGUGAAGGAUGUUUGGUUUGAUAGUUAUGACGAAGAGGGAACGCUCCAUUCACUUGCAUGGACAGCGUCUCUGGUUGCUAAGCAACCUCAACGUCUUGGCGGAAUAUCUGCUGAUCAACACUACGAAUGCUGGAAACACACCAGACACACCAUGUGAAGUUAUUUAACCCGAUUAUUGUUAUUUAUAUCCGAGAUUAUUUAAUCUAACCCGAUCUAAACUCUAUCAUGCACCCAAACACGGCGGCGUUUGGGUUUCCUACCUCGGACUCCUCAAUCCAUCGCAGCCACAGGCGCGUUGAACCAUUUUUGUGACACACAAUGAUCAAGCGUCAAGUUAGGCACGUUACACGCGUUUGGUGUGGCCGUAACAUUAUGCGGUUUCACCCAAAAAAUCGGCUUUGUGUGGACGGGGCCAAGAAGGCGAAUACGCGUCACCAAGACGGGGAGACAGCGCCAGGCGACUUACGCCACUAUCUGCCAAUGGAUCGUGGAUGCCUGGGCUGAUAUAACAGUCUCAACUGUGGUCCAAGCUUUCACGAAGGCAGGAAUAAUCACUGAACUGCCAGGCAACAGCAGCGACACUGACUCGGAAAAUGACGAGAGGGAUCCGGGCAUGUUGGAUGCCGUACUCGCCCAACUGUUCAAUUCGGACACACAAGAAUUAGAGGGAUUCGUAGACGUGGAAUGAACUGAAAAAGUGAGCUUACUGUUAAGAGAUAUUGAUAUUGAUCAGAUAUUGUUAAUAUGCACAUUAACGUUUGAACAUCGUUACCAUGGGAGUAAACGCUUAAUAAAGUUUGACUUUAUCUGACUGUUUUGUUGACAUUCCCUUUAGCACAGCUCGGUCUAGUCGAUGCAUAACGCAACCCCGGUCAAACGUUUGACUGCAGUAUCUUCUAUUCUAUGCGCCUUAUAAUCCGGUGCGCCCUAUAUAUGAAAACAGUUCUAAAAUAGGCCAUUCAUUAAAGGUGCGCCUUAUAAUCCGGUGUGCCUUAUAGUGCGGAAAAUACGGUAGUCCUCGUUUGUAUUUCUUUCGAAAUGGUGAACUUUUGCAUGGUGCCAUCUUCUAUGUCAGAUCCAGUACCCUCCGCCAAUGUACUUCAGUUUUAUCAAGAGCCUCUGUUAUCUUUACUUCAGACGCUGUGGAUGUUAGUUUCUGCUGGUGAAGUCCCACCCACUGGCACUGCUCUAAUAGGUCUGUAGCGUCAGUGGGUCCCACCCCCUAGAGGGGGGUGGGACUAGUGGUUGUAGUCUUACGAGAAUCAUCCCCUCUUACA
Long non-coding RNA from Gadus macrocephalus (Pacific cod), 1711 nucleotides. RefSeq lists it as uncharacterized. Lineage: Eukaryota; Metazoa; Chordata; Actinopteri; Gadiformes; Gadidae. The transcript is spliced from 2 exons. The record is from RefSeq and is a predicted model, not a curated record.